RNAcentral lists this ribosomal RNA (2918 nucleotides) under Candidatus Uhrbacteria bacterium. RNAcentral's name for it is "bacterial LSU rRNA". It matches the Rfam family "Bacterial large subunit ribosomal RNA". Lineage: Bacteria; Candidatus Uhriibacteriota. The record is from RNAcentral.
AGCAUCUAAAGGGCAUACGGUGGAUGCCUUGGCAAAACGUGCCGAUGAAGGACGUAGCAGCCUGCGAUAAGCUUCGGGGAGGUGGCAAGCAACCUUUGAUCCGGAGAUUUCCGAAUGGGGAAACCCAAUGCGGGGAAGCCGCAUUACCUUGUGCUGAAUACAUAGGUACAAGGAGGGCACCUGGGGAAGUGAAACAUCUCAGUACCCAGAGGAAAAGAAAAAGAAUGUUCGUUUUACGUUUACAUGCACACGCACGUUGCCUGUAAACGGAUAACGAGCCCAUUCCCUAAGUAGUGGCGAGCGAAAAGGGAAGAGCCCAAACCUUAAUGAGUGAAGUUGUUGUGAUCAUGUGGACUUCGGUUCGUAUGUGACCAGCAAUGAAAGAUGGAAGUCGUUGCUCCUAAGGCGUUGUAAGAUAGUUAUGUCGUCUUCUUCCAAAGACGGGUAAUGCAAGUUGUACGAUGUAUAGUGGAAGUCGUUGGAAAACGACACCAAAGAAGGUGAUAGUCCUGUACAUAAAAUACUCCCGUACCAUUACUAUGAUUAUUCUUGAGUACCACGGGACUCGUGAAAUCCUGUGGGAACCUGCCGCGACUAUGUGGCAAGGCUAAAUACACGUUUUGACCGAUAGUGAACAAGUACCGUGAGGGAAAGGUGAAAAGCACCCCGAGAGGGGAAUGAAAUAGUAUCUGAAACCGUAUGCUUACAAGGAGUCAGAGUCCCGCUUUGCGGGAUGAUGGCGUUCCUAUUGAAGAAUGAGCCAACGAGUGUGUUGUAUGUUGCUUGGUUAAGUCCUCCGGGACGGAGCCAUAGUGAAAGCGAGCGUUAACCCGCGUGAUGUGACUAAAUUCGAAUUGUUCGAUUUUUAUCGAACUUUUCGAAUUUUUUCACAGAGUAGCAUGCACACGACCCGAAACCAGGCGACCUAGCCAUGGCCAGGUUGAAGCGAGUGUAACAGCUCGUGGAGGACCGAACCCACGCGUCGUGCAACACGCGGGGAUGAGCUGUGGUUAGCGGAGAAAUUCCAAUCGAGCCUGGUAAUAGCUGGUUCUCCCCGAGAUAGCUUUAGGGCUAGCGUCGGUUAAUAGUGUAUUGGGGGUAGAGCACUGAAUGGGGUCACCGCCUUCGGGUAGGUAUCCUAAACAAACUCCGAAUACCAAUACAUGUUCCCGGCAGUCAGACUAUGGGGGCUAAGCUCCAUUAGUCGAAAGGGAAACAGCCCAGAUCUCCAACUAAGGUCCCUAAAUCAUCAUUAAGUGUAAAAGGUGGUUGAAAGGCUUAUACAACCAGGAGGUUGGCUUAGAAGCAGCCAUCCUUUAAAGAUAGCGUAAUAGCUCACUGGUCAAGCUUUUCUGCGCCGAAAAUGUACCGGGGCUAAAUGAUGUACCGAAGUUGAGGGUGUCUUCACCUAGAGUGAAGGCGCGGUAGGGGAGCAUUCGUAUUGCACUGAAGCUGUGUCGUAAGGCAUGGUGGAGCGAUGCGAAGGGAGAAUGUUGGCAUAAGUAGCAAAAAGACAGGUGAGAAUCCUGUCCACCGUAAACCCAAGGUUUCCUGGGCAACGAGAAUCGACCCAGGGUUAGUCGGGAGCUAAGGCGAGGCCGAAAGGCGUAGUCGAUGCACAGCAGGUUAAUAUUCCUGCACUCUGUCACACACUGAUGCGGGGACGCUUCGUGAAAUUUCCUGCGUCCUAUGGCUAUGACGUCGGGUGCAUCUUGGCGACUGGUAGGUAAAUCCGCUAGUCAUUAAGCUCGGAUGUAAUCGCAAGUCUGCCGCAAGGCAAGCAAGAGGAAAGGACAUGGAGCCAAGAAAAGCCGCUAGGGUUAAUGUGUGAUGGACCCGUACCCCAAACCAACACAGGUGGGUGGGCGCGUAAUGUGCCAAGGUGUACGAGAGAACCUUCGUUAAGGAACUCGGCAAAUCAGUGGCCGUAACUUCGGGAUAAGGCCUGGUUGCCCUCGGGAGAGGGUGACCCGCAGCGACUGACCACAACCGACUGUUUAUCAAAAACACAGGUCCCUGCUAAACUGCAAAGUGAUGUAUAGGGGCUGAUGCCUGGCCAGUGUCCGAACGUUAAGGAAGGGGGUCAUCCCAUUAGGGAGAAGCUUCCGACUGAAGCGCGGAUGAACGCCGGCGAUAACUAUAAUCGUCCUAAGGUAGCGAAAUUCCUUGUCGGGUAAGUUCCGACCUGCACGAAUGGCAUAACGAGUUGUGGACUCUCUCAACGAAGGACUCGGUGAAAUUGCAAGAUGAGUGAAGAUGCUCAUUACUCGUGGUUAGACGAAAAGACCCCGUGAAGCUUUACUAUAGCUUGUUCUUGGGUUCAUGUUUCAUAUGUUCAGUAUAGGUGGGAGCCUUCGGGCGCCAGUGAGAUACCACCCUUAUGUUGUGUGAAUCCUAACCAGACGCCGUGAAUCCGGUGUCAGGGACAGGAACUGGUGGGUAGUUUACCUGGGGCGGGUGCCUCCCAAAAAGUAACGGAGGCGUCUACAAAGGUUGGCUUAGCGCGGAUGGAAAUCGCGCUGGACGUGCAUACGCAGAAGCCAGCUUUACUGCAAGACCUACAAGUCGCGCAGUUGCGAAAGCAGAGGUAAGUGAUCCGACCGUUCGAGAUAGGACGGCGGAAGCUCAUCGGANNCAGUUCGGUCUCCUAUCUACCAUGAGCGUCGAUGACUGAGGGAACCCAUCCUUAGUACGAGAGGACCGGGAUGGACAAACCUCUAGUGUACCAGUUGUUCUGCCAAGGGCAUUGCUGGGUAGCUACGUUUGGUUCGGAUAAGUGCUGAAAGCAUCUAAGUACGAAGUCGAUCCCAAGAUUAGUCAUCAUUUGAGACCCCUACGAGACGAGUAGGUUGAUAGGCUGCAGGUGUAAGCGCGGUAACGCGUUCAGCCGAGCAGUACUAAUAGGUCGAUUGCUCUAC